Xenopus tropicalis (tropical clawed frog) is the source of this 929-nucleotide long non-coding RNA. RefSeq lists it as uncharacterized. The transcript has 2 exons. Lineage: Eukaryota; Metazoa; Chordata; Amphibia; Anura; Pipidae. The record is from RefSeq and is a predicted model, not a curated record.
GAUGUAAAUGUCAGCUUUACAAUCUCCCUGUGACACCAGGGCAUUAAUAUAUUUAUUUAGGUGGUGAUCUCCCUUAUUGCCUGGGGGGGACUGUGAUGCAAUUUGCUUCUCUCCCGUCUGGCAGGUAAGUAAUUAGAGAUACCCAUUCUACAGAGGCCCUUCAAAGUGCCGUCCUCUCUUCCUGCAGACAUCCGUCACAUGCUAGGGACCUCAUAACAGAACAAUCUGCCGGAGAAGAUGCAUUGGCUUUCUAGCUUUCUAUAUCUAGGCUCGGUGCACUAUUCCUAUUUUAGGAGAUUCUGCAUGCCCUUGUGUCUGCAUUCUCCUUCCUCCUUACUCAAGGUGAGCUCAAGAAGCAAUGGACCGUGCACACAUAACAUGCCAGCCUCUGCCUGCAUACAUACCUGCACAGCAUAUGCCUAGGAUACAAUGGGAGAUGUAAAUUAUAGGCUGUGUGUCUCAAUAACAAAGGAUCCUGCCAUAAGCCUCUGAAUAAACCUCCCUCUUCAAAUAUCACAUCCCUAGAUAUAUACAUGUGUUUACUCAGCACCUGGAAGGAUACCGUCUAUUUGCCUGCAGGAUUACCCAGAUCAAUCAAGCUCUCUCUAAGGUUCUGACUGGCAUGAGUUUCUCCUGUUUCCACGGCAGAAGAAGGACUGUCACCAACAUGAGUCGGACCGUUACCAAGGACACCAGUCUGUGUUCAGUUCUUAUUGUGCUGCCGUCACAGUUGGGAAGAGAGAAUGAGAUUAUUUAUAGGGGGGGGCAUCCAACCAAAAAAAAAUAUCAGCAUAAGUGGCUGCAGCAGGUAAUUCAUAGUCACUUAUUUAUAAGGCCUUUUUACUAUUAUUAUUAUUAAUGAAUCAUCUAAUAUCCAUGGAAAUGUCAGAGCAAUUUGCAUCUAAUAAAGCAGCGAUUUUCUGUGAUAA